UACGGAGGGAGCUAGCGUUGUUCGGAAUUACUGGGCGUAAAGCGCACGUAGGCGGCUUUGUAAGUUAGAGGUGAAAGCCCGGGGCUCAACCCCGGAAUUGCCUUUAAGACUGCAUCGCUUGAAUCCAGGAGAGGUGAGUGGAAUUCCGAGUGUAGAGGUGAAAUUCGUAGAUAUUCGGAAGAACACCAGUGGCGAAGGCGGCUCACUGGACUGGUAUUGACGCUGAGGCGCGAAAGCCAGGGGAGCAAACGGG
RNAcentral lists this ribosomal RNA (253 nucleotides) under uncultured bacterium. RNAcentral describes it as "partial 16S ribosomal RNA". It matches the Rfam family "Bacterial small subunit ribosomal RNA", at positions 524 to 776 of the family's 1533-position model. The record is from RNAcentral.